This 489-nucleotide long non-coding RNA is filed under the name Polistes fuscatus (common paper wasp). RNAcentral's name for it is "uncharacterized LOC122519818". The record is from RNAcentral. Lineage: Eukaryota; Metazoa; Arthropoda; Insecta; Hymenoptera; Vespidae.
UGAACAUUAUCGAGCUCGUUUGAUACUAAUCAACGACGUCAAUGUAAUAUGUUUACGUAUGAUAUUAAAUUAUCGAAUUGCAAAUUGACCUUUCGAUAGUGACAUACUUAUUUAAAUAUAUACGAACGUGUAUCCACGGUGUCCGUGGAAAUCGGGUGUAUUUCAAUAUCUUCGUAUUGUCCUUACACAAAUACGUGAUCAGUGUUGGUGAUACAGAGAGAUAAUGACGUUGCAAUGGAAGUGACUCGGUCGAGAAGAGAGGAAAAGAGAGCGCAAAAAAAGAAGAAGAAGAAGAAGAAAAAGAAGAAAGAGAAGAAAAAGAAUUAAACGUGUCUCGUUUCGAAUUGUACCAGAGAAUGUUUGAAACCGAGAGAAAGAGACCAUCUUCCGCGUUGUUCGCAAAGCUAGAAAGAUCGUCGAAACACUUGCUUGUCGAAAAAGGAAAACACAACAACAACGACAAAAGGAUAAAAAACAAAAUGACAAAAA